Molecule: ribosomal RNA, 493 nt
Filed under: uncultured bacterium
Lineage: Bacteria
Description: partial 16S ribosomal RNA
Rfam family: Bacterial small subunit ribosomal RNA
Source: RNAcentral
AUUGAACGCUGGCGGCAUGCUUUACACAUGCAAGUCGAACGGUAACGGGUUAAGCUGACGAGUGGCGAACGGGUGAGUAAUGCAUCGGAACGUGCCCGAUCGUGGGGGAUAACGCAGCGAAAGCUGCGCUAAUACCGCAUACGAUCUGAGGAUGAAAGCGGGGGACCGUAAGGCCUCGCGCGAGCAGAGCGGCCGAUGUCAGAUUAGGUAGUUGGUGGGGUAAAGGCCCACCAAGCCGACGAUCUGUAGCUGGUCUGAGAGGACGACCAGCCACACUGGGACUGAGACACGGCCCAGACUCCUACGGGAGGCAGCAGUGGGGAAUUUUGGACAAUGGGCGAAAGCCUGAUCCAGCAAUGCCGCGUGCAGGAAGAAGGCCUUCGGGUUGUAAACUGCUUUUGUACGGAGCGAAAAGGUCCUUUCUAAUACAGGGGGCUCAUGACGGUACCGUAAGAAUAAGCACCGGCUAACUACGUGCCAGCCGCCGCGGUAA